GACGAACGCUGGCGGCGUGCCUAAUACAUGCAAGUAGAACGCUGAAGGAGGAGCUUGCUUCUCUGGAUGAGUUGCGAACGGGUGAGUAACGCGUAGGUAACCUGCCUGGUAGCGGGGGAAAACAUUGGGAAAGAUAGGCAAUAACGCCUAAGAAUAGAUUUUUCAUGACCAUUUCUUAAAAAGUGUCAAUUCAUUCCUAACAGAUGGACCCUGCUUGUAUUAGGUAGUUGGUGGGGUAAAGGCUUACCAAGGGGACGAUACAUAGCCGACCGGAGAGGGUGAUCGGCCACACUGGGACUGAGACACGGCCCAGACGCCUACGGGAGGCAGCAGUAGGGAAUCUUCGGCAAUGGACGGAAGUCUGACCGAGCAACGCCGCGGGAGUGAAGAAGGGUUUCGGAUCGUAAAGCUCGGUUGUAAGAGAAGAACGAGUGUGAGAGUGGAAAGUUCACACUGUGACGGUAUCUUACCAGAAAGGGACGGCUAACUACGUG
This 494-nucleotide ribosomal RNA is filed under the name uncultured bacterium. RNAcentral's name for it is "partial 16S ribosomal RNA". It matches the Rfam family "Bacterial small subunit ribosomal RNA", at positions 28 to 507 of the family's 1533-position model. The record is from RNAcentral.